AGGGGAAUAUUGGACAAUGGGCGCAAGCCUGAUCCAGCCAUGCCGCGUGAGUGAUGAAGGCCCUAGGGUUGUAAAGCUCUUUCACCGGUGAAGAUAAUGACGGUAACCGGAGAAGAAGCCCCGGCUAACUUCGUGCCAGCAGCCGCGGUAAUACGAAGGGGGCUAGCGUUGUUCGGAUUUACUGGGCGUAAAGCGCACGUAGGCGGACUUUUAAGUCAGGGGUGAAAUCCCGGGGCUCAACCCCGGAACUGCCUUUGAUACUGGAAGGCUUGAGUAUGGUAGAGGUGAGUGGAAUUCCGGGUGUAGAGGUGAAAUGCGUAGAUAUUCGAAGGAACACCAGUGGCGAAGGCGGCUCACAGGAACAUUACUGGCGCUGAGGUGCGAAAGCGUGGUGAGCGAUCAGG
Molecule: ribosomal RNA, 404 nt
Filed under: Actinomycetes bacterium
Lineage: Bacteria; Bacillati; Actinomycetota; Actinomycetes
Description: Actinobacteria bacterium partial 16S ribosomal RNA
Rfam family: Bacterial small subunit ribosomal RNA
Source: RNAcentral